RNAcentral lists this ribosomal RNA (417 nucleotides) under uncultured bacterium. RNAcentral describes it as "bacterial SSU rRNA". It matches the Rfam family "Bacterial small subunit ribosomal RNA", at positions 493 to 917 of the family's 1533-position model. The record is from RNAcentral.
ACGCUCGACAGUGUCAGCAGCCGCGGUAAUACGGAGGAUCCAAGCGUUAUCCGGAAUCAUUGGGUUUAAAGGGUCCGUAGGCGGCCCAGUAAGUCAGUGGUGAAAUCUCCCGGCUCAACCGGGAAAUUGCCAUUGAUACUGCUGGGCUUGAAUUACUAGGAAGUAACUAGAAUAUGUAGUGUAGCGGUGAAAUGCUUAGAUAUUACAUGGAAUACCGAUUGCGAAGGCAGGUUACUACUAGUGGAUUGACGCUGAUGGACGAAAGCGUGGGUAGCGAACAGGAUUAGAUACCCUGGUAGUCCACGCCGUAAACGAUGGAUACUAGCUGUUGGGCGCAAGCUCAGUGGCUAAGCGAAAGUGAUAAGUAUCCCACCUGGGGAUACGAACGCAAGUUUGAAACUUAAAGGAAUUGGCGGG